ACGGACGAGGCCCCUUCGGGGACCGAGUUAGUGGCGAACGGGUGAGUAACGCGUGAGGAACCUGCCUUUCAGUGGGGGACAACAGUUGGAAACGACUGCUAAUACCGCAUGAAGCAUUUAGGGGGCAUCCCCUGAAUGCCAAAGAUUUAUUGCUGAAAGAUGGCCUCGCGUCUGAUCAGCUAGUUGGAGGGGUAACGGCCCACCAAGGCGACGAUCAGUAGCCGGUCUGAGAGGAUGAACGGCCACAUUGGGACUGAGAUACGGCCCAGACUCCUACGGGAGGCAGCAGUGGGGAAUAUUGGGCAAUGGGGGAAACCCUGACCCAGCAACGCCGCGUGAAGGAAGAAGGCUUUCGGGUUGUAAACUUCUUUUACCAGGGACGAAGAAAGUGACGGUACCUGGAGAAAAAGCCACGGCUAACUACGUGCCAGCAGCCGCGGUAAUACGUAGGUGGCAAGCGUUGUCCGGAUUUACUGGGUGUAAAGGGCGUGUAGGCGGAGAUUCAAGUCAGGAGUGAAAACUAUGGGCUUAACCCAUAAACUGCUUUUGAAACUGAAUCCCUUGAGUAUCGGAGAGGCAGGCGGAAUUCCUAGUGUAGCGGUGAAAUGCGUAGAUAUUAGGAGGAACACCAGUGGCGAAGGCGGCCUGCUGGACGACAACUGACGCUGA
This 669-nucleotide ribosomal RNA is filed under the name uncultured bacterium. RNAcentral describes it as "bacterial SSU rRNA". It matches the Rfam family "Bacterial small subunit ribosomal RNA", at positions 66 to 749 of the family's 1533-position model. The record is from RNAcentral.